GCUGCUGGGACACGGAUGUGUUCAGGCCAUGAGGCCAUCCAAGCCCAGGCCCACUGCUCAGGGCUCUGGGCUGCUGCCCAAGAAGGCCACAAGGUCCCCCACAGAUCAUCUUUCCUGGCCGCUUAUAUCCAGAAUGAAGAUAAGGAAGUGGCAUGUCCCCCAGGGGAAGGGGACAACAUCUGGUGUCCUGUGUCUAGCUGUAGGAGGCAAGAGUUUACGAGAAAUAAUCAGAGAGAAGAAGACACGUCCCUUAUUCCCAGGAGCUCAUACCACCCAUACUACAGCCAGCAGAUGUUGUGCAUGACCAGUGUAAAAGCCCCUCCCAAAAUGAUUGACACCAAAGGAGGCUUCAUUUUAGAAGAGGAGGAAGAAGAGGAACACAAGAUUGGAAAUGUGGUUCAUGAACCAGGGCCCGUCAUGGAGUUUGAUUAUGCAAUUUGUGAAGAAUGUGGGAAAGAAUUCAUGGACUCCUAUCUUAUGAACCACUUUGAUUUGCCAACAUGUGACAACUGCAGAGAUGCUGAUGACAAACACAAGCUGAUAACCAAAACAGAAGCCAAGCAGGAAUACCUUCUGAAAGACUGCGAUUUAGAGAAGAGAGAGCCCGCGCUUAGGUUUAUCGUGAAGAAGAACCCUCGUCACUCACAAUGGGGUGAUAUGAAGCUCUACUUAAAGUUACAGGUUGUGAAGCGGGCUCUGGAAGUUUGGGGAAGCCAGGACGCGCUGGAAGAGGCAAAGGGAGUGAGGCAGGAAAACCGGGAGAAAAUGAAGCAGAAGAAGUUUGAUAAAAAAGUGAAGGUGCUUGGUGGAUCUGUCCCUGUCCUGGCCAGCCCGCAGAGGGCUGAGUGGAGUAGACUGUAGACUAGAAACGAGGAGCUGAUUGCGCAGUUUGCUCAGAACAGAGAGGAUCUAAGCAAGUCUAAAGGCUUUUUAGUUGGAAAGAAAUUGGAACAUGGUUCCUCUUGAUGCACAGCGGAGCUGACACAAAGCUUUCUUCUUUAUGGGAAGAAUUGCGGCGAGCAGUAAGAAGCAGUGUGUGGAAAAGAGAAACGGCCGCUCACCAACAUGAGUAUGGACCAGAGGAAAACUUGGAAGAUGACAUGUACCGCAAGACUUGUACCUUGUGUGGCCAUGAACUGACAUAUGAGAAAAUGUGACUUUUAAAAGCAAAUUUAUAUUCAAAUAAAGGCUCUGUUCAGUUGUA
Mesocricetus auratus (golden hamster) is the source of this 1204-nucleotide RNA transcript. It is a transcript of the gene named XPA, DNA damage recognition and repair factor, with no coding region annotated. The record is from RefSeq and is a predicted model, not a curated record. The transcript is spliced from 7 exons. Lineage: Eukaryota; Metazoa; Chordata; Mammalia; Rodentia; Cricetidae.